RNAcentral lists this ribosomal RNA (422 nucleotides) under Laparocerus campestris. RNAcentral's name for it is "partial 16S ribosomal RNA". The record is from RNAcentral. Lineage: Eukaryota; Metazoa; Arthropoda; Insecta; Coleoptera; Curculionidae.
GGUAUUUUGACCGUGCAAAGGUAGCAUAAUCAUUAGUUUUUUAAUUGAAAGCUGGAAUGAAAGGUUGGAUGAAAAAUAAGCUGUCUCUAUUUAAUUUUAUUAGAACUUUAUUUUUAAGUAAAAAAGCUUAAAUUUUGAUAGAAGACGAGAAGACCCUAUAGAGUUUUAUUUAUUUUUUAAAUAAGAUUAAUAGUAUUAAUUAUUUUUAUUUAAAAAAUAAAUUUAGUUGGGGUGAUUGAAAAAUUUAAUAAACUUUUUUUAUAUAUAUACAUUAAUAUAUGAUUAAUUGAUCCUUAAUUUAAGAUUAAAAGAUAAAAUUACCUUAGGGAUAACAGCGUAAUUUUUUUUGAGAGUUCUAAUCGAAAGAAAAGAUUGCGACCUCGAUGUUGGAUUAAAAUAAAAUUUUGGUGUAGAAGCUAAAA